Quercus lobata is the source of this 2999-nucleotide RNA transcript. It is a transcript of the gene named RING/U-box superfamily protein, with no coding region annotated. The record is from RefSeq and is a predicted model, not a curated record. The transcript is spliced from 10 exons. NCBI's taxonomy places the organism in Eukaryota, Viridiplantae, Streptophyta, Magnoliopsida, Fagales, Fagaceae.
ACCCAGAGUUCCUGUGAGCCCCUCUCGCCAUUGAGUCUCACACACACGCACACGGAGAGCAAAAGAAAUGAGAUAGAGAUAGAGAGAGAGAGAGAGAGAGAGAUAGAGAGAGAGAGUGUAUGGGUGCAUCCUCGUCUUCCUGGGAAUCUUCCUAUCUGAAUUCAACUUCUGGUCUUCUCUCUCUUUUGGAUUUGAACCCUAAUUAUCUAAAUCAGGAUAUGGACGAAAUGGACUUGGAUCAGGUAGUCGAUGUUCCUGACACACCUGAUAGGUUAGCUGCCCAUCAUAUUAUUGGUAAGGAUAGUGCUGGAAGAGAAAGCAAUUCAUCAUUAGCUGGUCAUUUGAGGAAUCCUGAUUUUGUGGGUGAAAAAUGUAUGAAUGGAUUGAGGGGCAGGGGUAGGCUGGCCAAUGAUAAUUUCCAGAAUAAAAGAUUGGUUAUUCGGUCUCGGAAGAAUCUCAGCGAUGAUGAACCUAAGGGUUGCAACAGCCCCAUUAUUAUUUCCCCACCGCAGAACUCAUACACCUCCCAGAAUGCUCACUUAUUCAGGAGACCAGCAAUAGACAAAAGCUUUAGUCAUAGGAGCAGACAUUCCAUUGGAAUGGAAAAGAAGGAUAAAGGGAAAGGCAUGUGUACUAAGUUUCCUCCAAAUUCAUCUGGUUUCCAAGAAGGCACUGCCUCUUUAUAUUUAACAGAACAGAGUGGUCACACCCAAAAACCUGAAACCGGUUUUCCAUUGGAUGCAUUUGAAGAUCUUCUUGCUGAAGAUGAGAGAAAAGAACAAAUACCAACUUUUGGCGGUUCGUCUUCAUAUUGCCUUCCAGUUCCUCCAAAGGCAUCCAGCAAUGCCUACAAGGGGAAGGAGAAAUUAGAGGACAAUACAUUUAAAAGUACUGGUUUGGCUUUGGCUCAUGGAAAAGGGGCAGCUAUGUCCACUGAAAAACAGAUUUCCACUCCUGUUCAUUGUCUUACCAUGCCAAGAGUCAGUGGGCAAAAAAGGUUAGUUCGCAAUGGAUGUAUCUCUCCACAUAAUAUAGCAACAAGGGCAAAACAAUUAGCUGAACAGCAGAGUACCAGUUCCAAUGUUGAUUUGGUUUCCAAAAGUCCUCUGAUAAACAUUAGUGAUAUAGUUUCUGGAGACAAUAAUGGUGAUAGAGUGAAAGGAAAAGGUGUUAUAAAUCAUCCUUCAGCAAACAAGCCAGGGGCUAAUAUUAUUCAUAUAACUGGCAGCCCUGUGAUUGAUAAUGGAGAAGCUGAUGGACACAACAAUGCUAGUAGAGAUGCAUUUGCAUUGCCCGAAAGAUUACGUGGUUGGAGAAGUACACGGAGUCGUUCCAAGAAAAAUGAUAAUCCUUUGUCUGAUGCAGCUGGGUGUCUUUCUGGGAUGAAUGGUGCUGGAAAUUUUGUUAGUCAACAGCAUGAAGACAGAGCAGAGAGAAGGGAUACAGGGAGUGGAAUAAACUGCAGGGCUCAAUGUGAUGUUGCAAAAGAUUGUGAUUCAGCACAAACAGCUGCUGAGAUUGUCUCUGAGGUUGACCAGAUAGCUGGACUGCAUUAUGCACCAAAUACACUCAGUAGAAGGCAAAAGAAACAUAGAUUGACUUCAAGAAAUCGUGGUGAGUGCUCUACGUCAGUUACUGAUGACUCAGAUAUUGUGAUUCUUGGUUCCUAUGGGGAACCAUCAAAUUCAAGAUCAUCCAGAAUCCAGACUCGUCAACGUAGGGGCAGUUUGGGUCCACUUAUUGAAGUUGAUGAUUUAUCAACUGAAAUGAGACAAAACCUCUCCCAUGAUUUAGACCGCACGAAUAAUGAUGACUCAGAUGCUAGGGCAAGACAACUAGAAGCAGAUGAGAUGUUGGCUCGGGAACUGCAAGAACAACUAUAUAAUGAGAUGCCUGUGGUUGGAGGUCAUGAGAUUGAUGAAAAUGUAGCAUGGGAGAUGCAUCAGGAGUGGGACGUUUUCCGUUCUGCUUCUGGUGGAAGUCACAGUGAUACACACCCUAGAGGCUCAUCAGUAACACAUUCGUCUAGACAACCUCGGUCACGGUCUUCUCAUAACCCUUCAGUUAGGAGAGCAACCCAGGCUCAAGCUCCUACCUCUAGUCGAAUAGCACAGUUGAUGGGAGCCCAGGCUAGAGUUCCCACCUCUAGUAGAAUAGCACAGUUGAGAAAUCGCAUCUCCAGACAUUCUCCUUCAGGAUCAUCAGGUCGAAGGAAUCUCCACUUUCCUUCAUACAUGGAUUUAGACAUGAGACUUGAUAUAUUGGAAGCAUUAGAGGCUGCAGUUGGGGACCUUAGUGAUAUGAGUAUGGCUAAUCACGCCUUUCAAGUUCAGCGUGAUUUUAAUGAAAAUGAUUAUGAAAUGUUGUUGGCUCUUGAUGAUAAUAAUCACCAUCAUGCCGGUGCAUCUGUCAAUCAGAUUAAUUGUCUUCCGCAGUCAACAGUACAGACUGAUACCAGUGAAGAGGCUUGUGCAAUUUGUCUUGAAAUUCCAACUAUUGGAGAAACCAUUCGGCAUCUCCCAUGCUUACACAAAUUUCACAAAGAUUGCAUUGAUCCAUGGCUCAGCAGAAGGACAUCAUGCCCAGUUUGCAAGUCUUCCAUCACUUAGUUUGCACUGGGAGUUUAGUGCUGAAUUACUCCACAUCUGGAGCAUUCUCAUUCUGGGGUUAAGUUAAUGCAACUCGGAUGGCAUACUGAAGUCUAGGUCUAACUUCAGAUCAAUGUGAGCUGGAGGCCAAUAAGACAUGGGCUUAGGCGGCUGAUCUUGGGACUGGGGUUCCCAACCAUAUGCAAAUGGCGCAAGGAAUCAUUUCGCCAUAUGGGCGAUUGAAUGCAGCAUGUAUGUGUACUGGUAAUUUACUGGCAUUGCAGUUGUAUAUGUGGCGUUGCAGUUGUACUGGUCAUUUUCUGGGGGAUGGUUGGUGACACUUGCAAUCCUCUCUUAAUAUUGAAAUUUAAGCCCGAUCCUUUAUUACAGCCUUUAAAUUGAUAUCUAUGC